AAUUUUUUUGCAUGUAUUGCUAGAAGUGAAGAAAAGGAGGAAAUAACAAAAAGAAGAUUGAAGAAAAAAAUGAUAAGCCUGCAAAAAAAGGAAGCGUGGUAUUGUGGAUUCAUCUUCCCAAAAAAAAAACCGAAUUUGAUGAUGAAAGUGAAGAAAUGUAAGAAAUAACAAAAGCAAGAUUGAAGAAAACAAAUGACAAGCUUGCACAAAAGUCGAGAGGCUCCUCGCUAAGCGUCUGAAGGUUCCUAUGGCAAGCAAAGUUGGGCUGUUAUAUUUUGGGUUGUCGAUUAUAUAUUUAUGUUUAUAGACUCUCCUAUGUAUAUAUAUAACUUAUUUUUAGUCCUCUUAGAGGCCUUUUGGAGAACUAGACGAUUACUUUAUGUAUGUUGGGAUAUUUUGGGAUAUACUUAUAUAUAUGUAUGUAUGUAUGUACAUAUUCUCCGGCCGGCCUUAGCUUCGCAGGUCGA
Non-coding RNA from Arachis ipaensis, 467 nucleotides. The record is from RefSeq and is a predicted model, not a curated record. NCBI's taxonomy places the organism in Eukaryota, Viridiplantae, Streptophyta, Magnoliopsida, Fabales, Fabaceae.